RNAcentral lists this ribosomal RNA (472 nucleotides) under uncultured bacterium. RNAcentral's name for it is "bacterial SSU rRNA". It matches the Rfam family "Bacterial small subunit ribosomal RNA", at positions 28 to 507 of the family's 1533-position model. The record is from RNAcentral.
GAUGAACGCUAGCUACAGGCUUAACACAUGCAAGGUCGAGGGCAGCAGGGAUUUAGCUUGCUAAAUUCGCUGGCAACCGGCGCACGGGUGAGUAACGCGUAUCCAACCUGCCCCUCUCUUUGGCAUAGCCUUUCGAAAGAGAGAUUAAUUCCGAAUAACGUAGUAACGUUGCCUGAUGAUACUACGAAAGCUCCGGCGGAGAGGGAUGGGGAUGCGUUCCAUUAGGUAGUAGGCGGGGUAACGGCCCACCUAGCCUACGAUGGAUAGGGGUUCUGAGAGGAAGGUCCCCCACAUUGGAACUGAGACACGGUCCAAACUCCUACGGGAGGCAGCAGUGGGGAAUAUUGGGCAAUGGGCGAAAGCCUGACCCAGCGACGCCGCGUGAGGGAAGAAGGUCUUCGGAUUGUAAACCUUUGUUGACAGGGAAGAAGAGAUGACGGUACCUGUCGAGGAAGCCACGGCUAACUACGUG